Molecule: RNA transcript, 2748 nt
Organism: Pocillopora verrucosa
Lineage: Eukaryota; Metazoa; Cnidaria; Anthozoa; Scleractinia; Pocilloporidae
Gene name: NAD-dependent protein deacetylase Sirt6
Source: RefSeq, a predicted model, not a curated record
CCAGGUGUUCGCUCCAGUCUUAGAUUGUAGUCGAUAAGCUGCGAAACUCCCUAAUAUUUCAUAGUCGUAGCAUAGAAACACAACUUAAAAUUACGAAAUCCUUUUCAACGAAGUACAAGAUCAUCAUAAGCUCUGUCCAUGGCAGCAAAUUUCACAUCAAAAUCCAAUUCAAAAGCAUCUGGAUCACACAUGGAAGCAAUGUUUGCCCAAGCUCAGAAAACCCAGGUGGCUCUUCAAGAAGACUACAAGAAUGCCCCUAUGACCACACCUAGGAAAGCUGGCUCAAAAGUUCCACAAGCAAGACAUGGGAAGGCAUCAGGCUUGAAACCAUCUUAUGGGUCUGCUGCUCCCAAACCAAAACCAAGAUCAAAUGCAAUAUCAAGUGAGUUUGAGAAGAAGGAGUAUUUUGAUGAAGAGGAUGUGCUGUCAGAAAAGAUUCAGGUUCUGGCUCAAUGGAUUCGUGAGAGUCGAUACUGUAUUGUCUUCACAGGAGCUGGUAUCAGCACAAGCACUGGUAUUCCUGAUUUUAGGAGUGGUGUGAACACAGUUCUAACCACUGGCCCUGGGGUGUGGGAGCGCAAGGCUCAUGGCAUCAAGUUACCCUCCCAGCAAAAAAAAGUGCAAAAUGUGUUAAAAGCUGUGCCAUCACCAUCACAUAUGGCAAUAGUUAAGCUUGUGAGGGAAGGCCUAGUAAAGUUUGUGGUCAGCCAAAAUACUGAUGGCCUGCACAGACGCUCAGGCCUUGAUCCCAAGUGCCUUGCUGAGUUGCAUGGUAAUACAAACAUGGAACAUUGUUUAAAGUGUGGGUCAAAGUUUAUGCGUGACUAUAGAACCCGCACAGCCAAAGCUGUACAUGACCAUUUGACAGGCCGUACCUGUGAUGACCCCAAAUGCCGUGGCCCCCUUGUGGACUCCAUAAUAAACUUUAAUGAAGAUCUGCCAGAGGAUGAACUAGACAGUGCAUUUGAAAAUGCAAAGCUUGCAGAUCUAUGCAUAGUUCUGGGUUCAAGCCUUAGGGUUUACCCGGCUGCGGACAUACCAGGGGACAUGAUCAAAAGAGGAGCUAAAGUGGUGAUUGUGAACCUCCAGAAAACACCUUUCAACAAAAGAUGUGCUUUGGAAGUUCACGCUACCAUUGACAUUGUUUUACUCAAACUUUUGAAAGAAUUUGGCCUUGAAGUGCCACAGUUUCAGCUCAAACGAUGCUUCCAAGUUGAUGUCAGGAAUGACUCACUGUUGAUUCAGGGACUGGAUCCAGCCACAAAAACACCCUACUCAUUUUUAAAACAAGUGAAAGUAGAGAUUCCUCCUCUAAAAAAAGAUAUAGAGUUGAUGAAGGAGCCCUUUGAGGUCAAGUUCCCAAGGCAAGUAGUCCUGUCAAAGGAGAAUCCAAUGCCCAUAAGCCUUACACUUAGCUUUCAGGGCCAUUAUGGGGAACCUGAAUUAAGAAUUGAAAAGAAUAUUGAGGAAGUUGGACCAACUAUGUUCUUGCUUACUUUUGAUGUCACAACAGUUGAGUGGGAAACGGAGGUCUUGGAGGAAUAAUGAGACAUGACUAUACAAGGUGGAACAUUGUUCAUUUACAGCAAUGGAAGGCUGAACAUGAACAUAUUAAUAUGUAGAGUUUUGAGGAAGCCAUGAAUUGUCUCUUUUCGUCAAUUUACGUUACAUUUAAAAGUAUUUUAGAAAACAUUUUAAGUAAUUGAAAUGCCAAAAACAUGUUUUACAUUUUUCAUUUUCCACAAUGGGAACUUGUAAGCCUGCAUGCUCUCAUUGGUUCUAGUACCAUGAGAAGUGAAGCUGCUAAAGUUGUUAGUUGUGCCACAGGGCUUAUGAGAACCUGCUUGUAUGCCUACUUAAGAGACAGGGGGUAACAAGUUAACAUUUGGUCAGUUUUGAAGCUGCUACACUGCAUUUUUCUUUUUCAAGAAAAUCAUUCAAAUUCUCCAAAGAGUCUCCAGGAAAUUAAAAUUUAAAGCACCAUAGAACAUUAUUGAAUAGAAAUUGAUUAUAUACCUUUCUUCUGGCCAUAGGGUAUAAUUAAAUGUAAGUAAAAAUUGUUUUUGUUUUUUUCAAAAAAAUGUUCCCUUUAAUGAUGAAAAGAAUGUUGUGCAACACUUCAGAAUUCCCUUAACUUCUGAUGGCUUCAGUCAAUGGAACUGCUGUGGGGAUAUCAGUAACAGUCAUGGGCUUGAUCUGUACAUCAGACAAAGCUACACUUCACACACCUUUUAUGGAGCUAGUACAAAGCCCUGAUGGAGGUUCCUUAUUUAUGUUCCUCAGGAUACUGGGACCAGGUUCUACUUAAGUUGGUUUCGUAUUUCUGUUGAAAUAUUUCCCCAAAGAGUCUCUACUGUUAUUCAAGCAGUUCAAGUAAGUAUUUCCUUUCGUAUCUGUUCCAUGAGGCUGGUGGAAAGGCAUGUACAGUACUAGAAGAACGCUGGCUUUCAGAAGAAUGCAUGUAUACUGUAAUGACAUGCAUUAAUGCGGAGAAAAUCCAAUUUGUCACCCAGCUUCCUAGUAAAGUUCCUUCCUCUUUUUUAAUUAGAGCUUAACCGACUGACGUUCCUGUUCUCUCGAUAAAAAUCACGCUACUAGCGCCGCAGGACCUGCAGGUCGCGUUACUCAAGGACUCAGACUUUCUCGCAUGCAAACAAACGCUAGUGUCGAGAUGCUAUUAAUUACGAAUGAAUAAAGGGGUAAGUUUCUAAAGAAACUGUGGUGCUGCGUCGGUGGGAGAGUAUAGCA